GGAAUUGUGGCUCAGUGGUUGAGCACUUGCCUGGCAUGUGUGAGGCCCUGGGUUCAAUCCUCAGCACUGCAU
Ictidomys tridecemlineatus (thirteen-lined ground squirrel) is the source of this 72-nucleotide non-coding RNA. NCBI's taxonomy places the organism in Eukaryota, Metazoa, Chordata, Mammalia, Rodentia, Sciuridae. The record is from Rfam.